CGGAGUGUAGUAUAGAGGCAGUACACACCCUUCGGGAGGGUGAAGCCUGAGUUCGAUUCUCGGCACUCCGA
Molecule: transfer RNA, 71 nt
Filed under: Candidatus Giovannonibacteria bacterium RIFCSPHIGHO2_01_FULL_43_100
Lineage: Bacteria; Candidatus Giovannoniibacteriota
Also listed under: 5 other names
Description: tRNA-Pro
Rfam family: tRNA
About the family: Transfer RNA (tRNA) molecules are approximately 80 nucleotides in length. Their secondary structure includes four short double-helical elements and three loops (D, anti-codon, and T loops). Further hydrogen bonds mediate the characteristic L-shaped molecular structure. tRNAs have two regions of fundamental functional importance: the anti-codon, which is responsible for specific mRNA codon recognition, and the 3' end, to which the tRNAs corresponding amino acid is attached (by aminoacyl-tRNA synthetases). tRNAs cope with the degeneracy of the genetic code in two manners: having more than one tRNA (with a specific anti-codon) for a particular amino acid; and 'wobble' base-pairing, i.e. permitting non-standard base-pairing at the 3rd anti-codon position.
Source: RNAcentral